RNAcentral lists this ribosomal RNA (494 nucleotides) under uncultured bacterium. RNAcentral's name for it is "partial 16S ribosomal RNA". It matches the Rfam family "Bacterial small subunit ribosomal RNA", at positions 28 to 507 of the family's 1533-position model. The record is from RNAcentral.
GACGAACGCUGGCGGCGUGCUUAACACAUGCAAGUCGAACGGAAAGGCCUGCUUUCCCUUGUGGAUUGCGGGUACUCGAGUGGCGAACGGGUGAGUAACACGUGAGUGAUCUGCCCCCAACUUGGGUAUAAGCCUGGGAAACUGGGUCUAAUUCCCGAUAGGACUGCAGGGUGGUGCCUGUGGUGGAAAACGAUUUUCUAGUGGUUGGGGAUGAGCUCGCGGCCUAUCAGCUUGUUGGUGGGGUAAUGGCCUACCAAGGCGGCGACGGGUAGCCGGCCUGAGAGGGUGGACGGCCACAGUGAGACUGAGAUACGGCCCAGACUCCUACGGGAGGCAGCAGUGGGGAAUAUUGCACAAUGGGCGGAAGCCUGAUGCAGCGACGCCGCGUGGGGGAUGACGGCCUUCGGGUUGUAAACUCCUUUCGACCGCGAGGAAGCCACCUGGUUGGAAGGGUGGUGACGGUAGUGGUAGAAGAAGCACCGGCUAACUACGUG